ACCUCCCAAAUACGAAGCUUGGAGUAGUUGAUGACAUAGUAGGCCAUGGCAAACUGGGUUUGGUUCUCAGGUGGGUACACAGGCUCAAUCUCCCUCACUAUGCACCCUUGUGAAACCAAUAUUUCACGGUGAUCCUCUGGGA
Quercus robur (English oak) is the source of this 142-nucleotide long non-coding RNA. RefSeq lists it as uncharacterized. The record is from RefSeq and is a predicted model, not a curated record. The transcript has 2 exons. NCBI's taxonomy places the organism in Eukaryota, Viridiplantae, Streptophyta, Magnoliopsida, Fagales, Fagaceae.